This 347-nucleotide long non-coding RNA is filed under the name Elaeis guineensis (African oil palm). RNAcentral's name for it is "long non-coding RNA (EGUI_LNC045840)". The record is from RNAcentral. Lineage: Eukaryota; Viridiplantae; Streptophyta; Magnoliopsida; Arecales; Arecaceae.
GUUAUAGACUUAAAGACUCAGCUUCUUAAAUCUCAUAGGACUACUCCCUUCUGCUAGGAUCGAUAGAUCCCAUCUAAGUACACACCCUACUCCUAUAGUGGACCAACUGUCACCAACAUCCACUACAAGGGCUCAUUGAGAUCCAUGUUUAUGUGUAGUUAAACUCCAGCAGCUUCACUGCGAGCAGCUGUAGCAUCGUAGGUCAAAGGACCAGUCAUACAACUGCAGUAUCGAGAAAGUUACUUAUGAAUGGACAGACAUCCAUGUGACUUCUCGUAUUGAUCACACUCAAUGCUAGUUGUUCUCUAACAACCACCUGCACUCUCAUUCCAGUGUCACUACACCGC